RNAcentral lists this ribosomal RNA (268 nucleotides) under uncultured bacterium. RNAcentral describes it as "partial 16S ribosomal RNA". It matches the Rfam family "Bacterial small subunit ribosomal RNA", at positions 88 to 354 of the family's 1533-position model. The record is from RNAcentral.
AUGGCGACCGGCGUACGGGUGAGUAACGCGUAUCCGACCUGCCCUUUACUAUGGGACAGCCCGUCGAAAGGCGGAUUAAUACCGUAUGUUGUCAUGUUGAUGCAUAUUUUCAUGACCAAAGGCUUCGGCCGGUAAAGGAUGGGGAUGCGUCUGAUUAGCUUGCCGGCGGGGUAACGGCCCACCGGGGCGACGAUCAGUAGGGGUUCUGAGAGGAAGGUCCCCCACAUUGGAACUGAGACACGGUCCAAACUCCUACGGAAGGCAGCAG